UACAGAGGUGGCAAGCGUUGUUCGGAAUUACUGGGCGUAAAGGGCGCGUAGGCGGUCCUGUAAGUCUUGUGUGAAAUCCCUCGGCUUAACUGAGGAACUGCACAGGAUACUGCGAGACUUGAGUUCGGGAGAGGGAAGCGGAAUUCCGGGUGUAGCGGUGAAAUGCGUAGAUAUCCGGAGGAACACCGGUGGCGAAGGCGGCUCACUGGACCGGAACUGACGCUGAGGCGCGAAAGCGUGGGGAGCAAACAGG
Molecule: ribosomal RNA, 253 nt
Filed under: uncultured bacterium
Lineage: Bacteria
Description: partial 16S ribosomal RNA
Rfam family: Bacterial small subunit ribosomal RNA
Source: RNAcentral